GUGCUCACUUUGGCAGCACAUAUACUAAAAUUGGGAAUGAUACAGAGAAGAUUAGCAUGGCCCCUAGGCGAGGGAUGACCAAACAAAUUCAUGGACUAUUU
RNAcentral lists this small nuclear RNA (101 nucleotides) under Sorex araneus (European shrew). Lineage: Eukaryota; Metazoa; Chordata; Mammalia; Eulipotyphla; Soricidae. The record is from RNAcentral.